Non-coding RNA from Neotoma lepida (desert woodrat), 47 nucleotides. NCBI's taxonomy places the organism in Eukaryota, Metazoa, Chordata, Mammalia, Rodentia, Cricetidae. The record is from Rfam.
UAACAGGCUUUUUUAGGAGCCACCAACCAGCUCCUAUAUCAUUACAU